UUUCUGCUACAGCUCAACAGUUGCUCAGAGCAUGGUGCUGACAACACCAAGGUUGCAGGUUCGAUCCCCGUAUGGGACA
This is a non-coding RNA of Podarcis lilfordi (Lilford's wall lizard), 79 nucleotides long. The record is from the annotation of a GenBank genome assembly. NCBI's taxonomy places the organism in Eukaryota, Metazoa, Chordata, Lepidosauria, Squamata, Lacertidae.